This 305-nucleotide ribosomal RNA is filed under the name Clostridioides difficile. RNAcentral's name for it is "partial 23S ribosomal RNA". It matches the Rfam family "Bacterial large subunit ribosomal RNA", at positions 624 to 925 of the family's 2925-position model. Lineage: Bacteria; Bacillati; Bacillota; Clostridia; Peptostreptococcales; Peptostreptococcaceae. The record is from RNAcentral.
AACGAGUUACGUUAAGUAGCAAGGUUAAGCACUUAAGGUGCGGAGCCGUAGCGAAAGCGAGUUUUAACUGAGCGUUCAGUUACUUGACGUAGACCCGAAACCGGGCGACCUACCCAUGAGCAGGAUGAAGCGAAAGGAAAAUUUCGUGGAGGUCCGAACCCACGAGCGUUGAAAAGCUCGGGGAUGACUUGUGGGUAGCGGUGAAAUUCCAAUCGAGCCCGGAGAUAGCUGGUUCUCCCCGAAAUAGCUUUAGGGCUAGCCUCAAGGUGAGAGAUACGGAGGUAGAGCACUGAAUGUCCUAGGGG